Molecule: long non-coding RNA, 1036 nt
Filed under: Marmota monax (woodchuck)
Lineage: Eukaryota; Metazoa; Chordata; Mammalia; Rodentia; Sciuridae
Source: RNAcentral
UGUUAUUACCAAUACAUUAAACUUUAAAAAUAUGUGUCUAAGCAAAUGAUUGUACCCAAAUAAAAGAAACAAAUGAGGUUUGUUUAAACAUAUCCCAGGCCUUUAGACAUUUCCCCCAAAAGGAUAAGUUUUAAAAGUUUAGGGUCUCUUUCUAGAAUGACCCAUUAAUUUCUCCUGUUAGCAAUUUAAGUGAAAAUGAACUUUUCUGCCUAAUCGGGCUGUAACUUUCCUACUUUCAAAUUACUACUUUCCUUCUUUCAAAAUGACUAUUGACUAGUAUAGUCAUGUCAUAAACACAUGAUUUCUCCUCAGAGAAAUGAGGCCAAUAAAACCCACAAAAGGUAUAAAUGUGCCUCCCCAUUUAGCUGGCCCAUAAUCCAUUUCUAGUUACUUCAUCCCAGCCCCAAUUUAGUUCUGUUCAUUUGUCCCUGCUUCCCAUUUUAGGCAGUGCUCUGUAUGGACAUGAAAUGCAUUUGGGAAACUACCUGCAACAAAUGUAAGUUCAGACCUUUUACCAUAUAGCUGACAACAUUUUAUUAUCCUUGAUUGGGGAUUUUAUUCACAUCAAUAAUGUGAGACACUGGUUUUUUGAUAAUUUGAAGACUUGUUCUGUUUUCUUUUCUUCUUCUUUCCCCACCCCCACAGUAGUCACUAGACCCAUUCACCAAUAUUCUGGGUUUUCUUCUUCCAGGUGCAUAGUAAGAUUGAAGUAUUCUGUCCUCUCCACAUUUAGCUAUGACCCUGAGAUUUGCUUUGGCAAAUGAGAAAUUACAUUAUAUUAAUAAAUUAUUAAUGUCAUAAGAAAUUACAUUAACAAAGUGAUAGAGUGAUAAAGAGCUAAUGUGCAAUUCACCAAAUCCUCUUUCCUAGGCUGUAGGAGGUAGUGACCCCCAAAUGGAGUUUCCAUAAACCUGCCACUCCUUGAAAAGACGGUUUAGAGUGGAGACUUCUCCUACCCACAUGGGCAUUUAGCAUGCUUAGGAAGCCAAGCUUUAUUAGUGUGUUUGUUAGAGAUGUUUAAAGGAGUCACCUAGCC